GCCGGGCAUGAUGGCACGUGCCUGUAAUCCCAGCUACUUGGAGGCUGAGGCAGGAGAAUCGCUUGAACCCAGGAGGUGGAGGUUACAGUGAGCCGAGAUUGCGUCACUGCACUCCAGCCUGGGUGACAGAGCGAGACUCCAUCUCAC
This is an unclassified non-coding RNA of Papio anubis (olive baboon), 147 nucleotides long. It matches the Rfam family "Metazoan signal recognition particle RNA". From Rfam's summary of the family: The signal recognition particle (SRP) is a universally conserved ribonucleoprotein. It is involved in the co-translational targeting of proteins to membranes. Lineage: Eukaryota; Metazoa; Chordata; Mammalia; Primates; Cercopithecidae. The record is from Ensembl.